AGCGCCGGUAAGGUGAUAUGAACCGUUAUAACCGGCGAUACCCGAAUGGGGAAACCCAGUGUGAUUCGUCACACUAUCAUUAACUGAAUCCAUAGGUUAAUGAGGCGAACCGGGGGAACUGAAACAUCUAAGUACCCCGAGGAAAAGAAAUCAACCGAGAUUCCCCCAGUAGCGGCGAGCGAACGGGGAGGAGCCCAGAGCCUGAAUCAGCAUGUGUGUUAGUGGAAGCGUCUGGAAAGGCGCGCGAUACAGGGUGACAGCCCCGUACACAAAAGCGCAUGUGCUGUGAGCUCGAUGAGUAGGGCGGGACACGUGGUAUCCUGUCUGAAUAUGGGGGGACCAUCCUCCAAGGCUAAAUACUCCUGACUGACCGAUAGUGAACCAGUACCGUGAGGGAAAGGCGAAAAGAACCCCGGCGAGGGGAGUGAAAAAGAACCUGAAACCGU
RNAcentral lists this ribosomal RNA (446 nucleotides) under Salmonella enterica subsp. enterica serovar Infantis. RNAcentral describes it as "partial 23S ribosomal RNA". It matches the Rfam family "Bacterial large subunit ribosomal RNA", at positions 74 to 559 of the family's 2925-position model. Lineage: Bacteria; Pseudomonadati; Pseudomonadota; Gammaproteobacteria; Enterobacterales; Enterobacteriaceae. The record is from RNAcentral. RNAcentral also lists the same sequence under 5 other names.